UCAAAUUCUGCUAACAUUUAAAAUUGGAAUUUGCUGGUGGUAUAUGAUAGCAUCUUUGUCCGACCAAAAAGAAAAAGAAAAAAAAGUUGAUAGCAUAUUGUACCAUUUUGGCCAGUGUAAGCUAUAUUAUUGCAUCCCACUUUGCAUAUUAACAUCGGUGGCCACAGUUCCACGAUUUGAGUGCACAGAAAAGGUUUCAAAAGUUGUCCCACAAAGAACAGUCCUUCAAAGUGAAAGAGAGUUUUCAAAGCUUAAUUACAAGUUCAUGUUAUUUACAAUAUCAAAAAGCUUUCAUACUUGCUUACAAACCUGUAUUUCAAAGUUCUGCAAACCUUGGAAUAUCACUUCAUCCAAAUCCCCUUCCAAAGCAGAGAAAAAUGGCAGCAGCUUUGAUCGGAGAGGCUCUCAUCUCUGCUUCUAUUGAGGUGUUGUGUGACAGAGUUACUUCAGCCUAGUUCAUCGACUUAUUUCGGCAGAAGAAACUCGAUGAACCACUCCUCAUGAACCUGAAGACGACAGUGUUGAUUUUGUUCGCGAUGCUCAAUGAUGCAGAGGAGAUGCAAAUUGUGAACCCAGCUGUGAGAGAGUGGCUUAACAAGCUCAAGCAUGCUGUCUUGGAUGCAGAGGACUUACUGGAUGAGAUUGACACUGAAGCUUUGCGAUGCAAGCUGGAAGGAGUCAGCCACACAGAAUAAGAAACUACGGAUGGGAGCCAACUUAUUUCAUACUAUUUUAAAAUCCCUUUCUUUCUCAACAAUGGAGGAAUUUAUACUAAUUGCGUAGCUUUAUGUAUAUGGUUGCAGCUGGUUAAGGAGGAUCAGACUAAGCAGAUUCAUACAUUGCAUGCGUCACGUCAUCAGCAUUUCAGACUGAAAAUGGACCUUCAAUUGUCUUAUGAGCCAAUGGAUUUUUCAAGAGUCUUAAACAUGGUUCUGUUGGAUGCUGGAAGUGCCUCUUAUCGAACAGACCAAAUAUGUUCACACGUGGCAUCGCUCAAGUCAUCAUCAUUUCAGACAGAAAAUCAGCCUUCAAGUGUGCUGAGUCAAUGAACCUUUCUAGAUAUAUCAAGUGCAAUGGAAAUUCAUGAGUUACAUAGAGAUUUGUAAACAUUUUGAAGAUUGCAACACCUGCAAGUGAGAUAGGUGGUGACGAAAUCAGAGCUGAUCUUGAAGCCUCUGACGCCCCUGUUGUUGCAAGUUGCACCUGAGAACAUGUUUUUUUUUCUGGUAAAAAACUUGCAACAUGUUCGAAGCUGGCAAUUCAAUCCCCGAUGAACUUGAGAAGCAAAGCUCCAGUAAGGAAAUUGGUCGAGGUCAUGACAGGGAUGAUUGAUGGUGAAAUGGAUGCUAUUUCUUAUUGCAGCCUGUUCUCAAAGUUCUUGUUGGAUUGGGAGGAGAAAUAAUGAAAUGUCUUGACAAUUCUAGAACAGCCCAUCAUUAAUCCCGGCAAAAGUCCAGUUUCUGCUAAACAAUCACUUGUGGCUAUAAGACAGACAGAGUUACUGACC
This is a non-coding RNA of Prunus avium (sweet cherry), 1507 nucleotides long. The record is from RefSeq and is a predicted model, not a curated record. NCBI's taxonomy places the organism in Eukaryota, Viridiplantae, Streptophyta, Magnoliopsida, Rosales, Rosaceae.